Molecule: ribosomal RNA, 510 nt
Filed under: Pitar rudis
Lineage: Eukaryota; Metazoa; Mollusca; Bivalvia; Venerida; Veneridae
Description: partial 16S ribosomal RNA
Rfam family: Bacterial large subunit ribosomal RNA
Source: RNAcentral
GGCCUUUUGAGUUUAAGGUAUAAAAGGUCUGACCUGCCCGGUGACUGGCUGAUACUAGGCUGGUUUAACGGCUAUUAAUUUACUAAUGUAGCGCGGUAAUUUACCCUUUAAUUGGGGGCUAGAAAAUGGUUUGACGCAGAAAAACUGUCUUUGAUGUAAUAAAUGAAAUUUCUUUUCAAGUGAAAAAGCUUGAGUUUUUGUAUUAGACGAGAAGACCCUAUUGAACUUGAUUACUGAGUAUAACUAUAUAAUUAUAAAGAAUUAUAAAUUAGGUGUUUAGUUAUAUUUAGAAACUUUUGUUGGGGAAACAGAGGAUUAAAACUAACAUCCUCUUUAUUUAUACAGACCCUUUACAGAGAGUCUAAAGCAAAAGUUACCAUAGGGAUAACAGCGUAAUUCCUUUUCAAGAGCUCUUAUUGAGGAGAGGGUUUGCGACCUCGAUGUUGAAUUAAAGUGACUCUCUGGUUGUAGAAGCUAGAAAAAGUAAGACUGUUCGUCUUUUGAAACUUU